GACGGGUGAGUAAUGCCUAGGAAAUUGCCCUGAUGUGGGGGAUAACCAUUGGAAACGAUGGCUAAUACCGCAUAAUGCCUACGGGCCAAAGAGGGGGACCUUCGGGCCUCUCGCGUCAGGAUAUGCCUAGGUGGGAUUAGCUAGUUGGUGAGGUAAUGGCUCACCAAGGCGACGAUCCCUAGCUGGUCUGAGAGGAUGAUCAGCCACACUGGAACUGAGACACGGUCCAGACUCCUACGGGAGGCAGCAGUGGGGAAUAUUGCACAAUGGGCGCAAGCCUGAUGCAGCCAUGCCGCGUGUGUGAAGAAGGCCUUCGGGUUGUAAAGCACUUUCAGUCGUGAGGAAGGUGGUAGUGUUAAUAGCACUAUCAUUUGACGUUAGCGACAGAAGAAGCACCGGCUAACUCCGUGCCAGCAGCCGCGGUAAUACGGAGGGUGCGAGCGUUAAUCGGAAUUACUGGGCGUAAAGCGCAUGCAGGUGGUUUGUUAAGUCAGAUGUGAAAGCCCGGGGCUCAACCUCGGAAUAGCAUUUGAAACUGGCAGACUAGAGUACUGUAGAGGGGGGUAGAAUUUCAGGUGUAGCGGUGAAAUGCGUAGAGAUCUGAAGGAAUACCGGUGGCGAAGGCGGCCCCCUGGACAGAUACUGACACUCAGAUGCGAAAGCGUGGGGAGCAAACAGGAUUAGAUACCCUGGUAGUCCACGCCGUAAACGAUGUCUACUUGGAGGUUGUGGCCUUGAGCCGUGGCUUUCGGAGCUAACGCGUUAAGUAGACCGCCUGGGGAGUACGGUCGCAAGAUUAAAACUCAAAUGAAUUGACGGGGGCCCGCACAAGCGGUGGAGCAUGUGGUUUAAUUCGAUGCAACGCGAAGAACCUUACCUACUCUUGACAUCCAGAGAACUUUCCAGAGAUGGAUUGGUGCCUUCGGGAACUCUGAGACAGGUGCUGCAUGGCUGUCGUCAGCUCGUGUUGUGAAAUGUUGGGUUAAGUCCCGCAACGAGCGCAACCCUUAUCCUUGUUUGCCAGCGAGUAAUGUCGGGAACUCCAGGGAGACUGCCGGUGAUAAACCGGAGGAAGGUGGGGACGACGUCAAGUCAUCAUGGCCCUUACGAGUAGGGCUACACACGUGCUACAAUGGCGCAUACAGAGGGCAGCAAGCUAGCGAUAGUGAGCGAAUCCCAAAAAGUGCGUCGUAGUCCGGAUUGGAGUCUGCAACUCGACUCCAUGAAGUCGGAAUCGCUAGUAAUCGUGGAUCAGAAUGCCACGGUGAAUACGUUCCCGGGCCUUGUACACACCGC
This 1296-nucleotide ribosomal RNA is filed under the name Vibrio owensii. RNAcentral describes it as "bacterial SSU rRNA". It matches the Rfam family "Bacterial small subunit ribosomal RNA", at positions 100 to 1393 of the family's 1533-position model. The record is from RNAcentral. Lineage: Bacteria; Pseudomonadati; Pseudomonadota; Gammaproteobacteria; Vibrionales; Vibrionaceae.